Hordeum vulgare subsp. vulgare (domesticated barley) is the source of this 20070-nucleotide long non-coding RNA. RefSeq lists it as uncharacterized. The record is from RefSeq and is a predicted model, not a curated record. The transcript is spliced from 10 exons. NCBI's taxonomy places the organism in Eukaryota, Viridiplantae, Streptophyta, Magnoliopsida, Poales, Poaceae.
GGGGAAGUUUCGCUUUAAUUUCCUAGAUUCAUCGGCCUGGCCAUGAACAUUUUACUGCACUACCGGGCAGUGGAUGCUUUCAGUUAUUUGUUUCAUGGGGAAGUUUCGCUUUAAUUUCCUAGAUUCAUCGGCCUGGCCAUGAACAUUUUACUGCACUACCGGGCAGUGGAUGCUUUCAGUUAUUUGUUUCAUGGGGAAGUUUCGCUUUAAUUUCCUAGAUUCAUCGGCCUGGCCAUGAACAUUUUACUGCACUACCGGGCAGUGGAUGCUUUCAGUUAUUUGUUUCAUGGGGAAGUUUCGCUUUAAUUUCCUAGAUUCAUCGGCCUGGCCAUGAACAUUUUACUGCACUACCGGGCAGUGGAUGCUUUCAGUUAUUUGUUUCAUGGGGAAGUUUCGCUUUAAUUUCCUAGAUUCAUCGGCCUGGCCAUGAACAUUUUACUGCACUACCGGGCAGUGGAUGCUUUCAGUUAUUUGUUUCAUGGGGAAGUUUCGCUUUAAUUUCCUAGAUUCAUCGGCCUGGCCAUGAACAUUUUACUGCACUACCGGGCAGUGGAUGCUUUCAGUUAUUUGUUUCAUGGGGAAGUUUCGCUUUAAUUUCCUAGAUUCAUCGGCCUGGCCAUGAACAUUUUACUGCACUACCGGGCAGUGGAUGCUUUCAGUUAUUUGUUUCAUGGGGAAGUUUCGCUUUAAUUUCCUAGAUUCAUCGGCCUGGCCAUGAACAUUUUACUGCACUACCGGGCAGUGGAUGCUUUCAGUUAUUUGUUUCAUGGGGAAGUUUCGCUUUAAUUUCCUAGAUUCAUCGGCCUGGCCAUGAACAUUUUACUGCACUACCGGGCAGUGGAUGCUUUCAGUUAUUUGUUUCAUGGGGAAGUUUCGCUUUAAUUUCCUAGAUUCAUCGGCCUGGCCAUGAACAUUUUACUGCACUACCGGGCAGUGGAUGCUUUCAGUUAUUUGUUUCAUGGGGAAGUUUCGCUUUAAUUUCCUAGAUUCAUCGGCCUGGCCAUGAACAUUUUACUGCACUACCGGGCAGUGGAUGCUUUCAGUUAUUUGUUUCAUGGGGAAGUUUCGCUUUAAUUUCCUAGAUUCAUCGGCCUGGCCAUGAACAUUUUACUGCACUACCGGGCAGUGGAUGCUUUCAGUUAUUUGUUUCAUGGGGAAGUUUCGCUUUAAUUUCCUAGAUUCAUCGGCCUGGCCAUGAACAUUUUACUGCACUACCGGGCAGUGGAUGCUUUCAGUUAUUUGUUUCAUGGGGAAGUUUCGCUUUAAUUUCCUAGAUUCAUCGGCCUGGCCAUGAACAUUUUACUGCACUACCGGGCAGUGGAUGCUUUCAGUUAUUUGUUUCAUGGGGAAGUUUCGCUUUAAUUUCCUAGAUUCAUCGGCCUGGCCAUGAACAUUUUACUGCACUACCGGGCAGUGGAUGCUUUCAGUUAUUUGUUUCAUGGGGAAGUUUCGCUUUAAUUUCCUAGAUUCAUCGGCCUGGCCAUGAACAUUUUACUGCACUACCGGGCAGUGGAUGCUUUCAGUUAUUUGUUUCAUGGGGAAGUUUCGCUUUAAUUUCCUAGAUUCAUCGGCCUGGCCAUGAACAUUUUACUGCACUACCGGGCAGUGGAUGCUUUCAGUUAUUUGUUUCAUGGGGAAGUUUCGCUUUAAUUUCCUAGAUUCAUCGGCCUGGCCAUGAACAUUUUACUGCACUACCGGGCAGUGGAUGCUUUCAGUUAUUUGUUUCAUGGGGAAGUUUCGCUUUAAUUUCCUAGAUUCAUCGGCCUGGCCAUGAACAUUUUACUGCACUACCGGGCAGUGGAUGCUUUCAGUUAUUUGUUUCAUGGGGAAGUUUCGCUUUAAUUUCCUAGAUUCAUCGGCCUGGCCAUGAACAUUUUACUGCACUACCGGGCAGUGGAUGCUUUCAGUUAUUUGUUUCAUGGGGAAGUUUCGCUUUAAUUUCCUAGAUUCAUCGGCCUGGCCAUGAACAUUUUACUGCACUACCGGGCAGUGGAUGCUUUCAGUUAUUUGUUUCAUGGGGAAGUUUCGCUUUAAUUUCCUAGAUUCAUCGGCCUGGCCAUGAACAUUUUACUGCACUACCGGGCAGUGGAUGCUUUCAGUUAUUUGUUUCAUGGGGAAGUUUCGCUUUAAUUUCCUAGAUUCAUCGGCCUGGCCAUGAACAUUUUACUGCACUACCGGGCAGUGGAUGCUUUCAGUUAUUUGUUUCAUGGGGAAGUUUCGCUUUAAUUUCCUAGAUUCAUCGGCCUGGCCAUGAACAUUUUACUGCACUACCGGGCAGUGGAUGCUUUCAGUUAUUUGUUUCAUGGGGAAGUUUCGCUUUAAUUUCCUAGAUUCAUCGGCCUGGCCAUGAACAUUUUACUGCACUACCGGGCAGUGGAUGCUUUCAGUUAUUUGUUUCAUGGGGAAGUUUCGCUUUAAUUUCCUAGAUUCAUCGGCCUGGCCAUGAACAUUUUACUGCACUACCGGGCAGUGGAUGCUUUCAGUUAUUUGUUUCAUGGGGAAGUUUCGCUUUAAUUUCCUAGAUUCAUCGGCCUGGCCAUGAACAUUUUACUGCACUACCGGGCAGUGGAUGCUUUCAGUUAUUUGUUUCAUGGGGAAGUUUCGCUUUAAUUUCCUAGAUUCAUCGGCCUGGCCAUGAACAUUUUACUGCACUACCGGGCAGUGGAUGCUUUCAGUUAUUUGUUUCAUGGGGAAGUUUCGCUUUAAUUUCCUAGAUUCAUCGGCCUGGCCAUGAACAUUUUACUGCACUACCGGGCAGUGGAUGCUUUCAGUUAUUUGUUUCAUGGGGAAGUUUCGCUUUAAUUUCCUAGAUUCAUCGGCCUGGCCAUGAACAUUUUACUGCACUACCGGGCAGUGGAUGCUUUCAGUUAUUUGUUUCAUGGGGAAGUUUCGCUUUAAUUUCCUAGAUUCAUCGGCCUGGCCAUGAACAUUUUACUGCACUACCGGGCAGUGGAUGCUUUCAGUUAUUUGUUUCAUGGGGAAGUUUCGCUUUAAUUUCCUAGAUUCAUCGGCCUGGCCAUGAACAUUUUACUGCACUACCGGGCAGUGGAUGCUUUCAGUUAUUUGUUUCAUGGGGAAGUUUCGCUUUAAUUUCCUAGAUUCAUCGGCCUGGCCAUGAACAUUUUACUGCACUACCGGGCAGUGGAUGCUUUCAGUUAUUUGUUUCAUGGGGAAGUUUCGCUUUAAUUUCCUAGAUUCAUCGGCCUGGCCAUGAACAUUUUACUGCACUACCGGGCAGUGGAUGCUUUCAGUUAUUUGUUUCAUGGGGAAGUUUCGCUUUAAUUUCCUAGAUUCAUCGGCCUGGCCAUGAACAUUUUACUGCACUACCGGGCAGUGGAUGCUUUCAGUUAUUUGUUUCAUGGGGAAGUUUCGCUUUAAUUUCCUAGAUUCAUCGGCCUGGCCAUGAACAUUUUACUGCACUACCGGGCAGUGGAUGCUUUCAGUUAUUUGUUUCAUGGGGAAGUUUCGCUUUAAUUUCCUAGAUUCAUCGGCCUGGCCAUGAACAUUUUACUGCACUACCGGGCAGUGGAUGCUUUCAGUUAUUUGUUUCAUGGGGAAGUUUCGCUUUAAUUUCCUAGAUUCAUCGGCCUGGCCAUGAACAUUUUACUGCACUACCGGGCAGUGGAUGCUUUCAGUUAUUUGUUUCAUGGGGAAGUUUCGCUUUAAUUUCCUAGAUUCAUCGGCCUGGCCAUGAACAUUUUACUGCACUACCGGGCAGUGGAUGCUUUCAGUUAUUUGUUUCAUGGGGAAGUUUCGCUUUAAUUUCCUAGAUUCAUCGGCCUGGCCAUGAACAUUUUACUGCACUACCGGGCAGUGGAUGCUUUCAGUUAUUUGUUUCAUGGGGAAGUUUCGCUUUAAUUUCCUAGAUUCAUCGGCCUGGCCAUGAACAUUUUACUGCACUACCGGGCAGUGGAUGCUUUCAGUUAUUUGUUUCAUGGGGAAGUUUCGCUUUAAUUUCCUAGAUUCAUCGGCCUGGCCAUGAACAUUUUACUGCACUACCGGGCAGUGGAUGCUUUCAGUUAUUUGUUUCAUGGGGAAGUUUCGCUUUAAUUUCCUAGAUUCAUCGGCCUGGCCAUGAACAUUUUACUGCACUACCGGGCAGUGGAUGCUUUCAGUUAUUUGUUUCAUGGGGAAGUUUCGCUUUAAUUUCCUAGAUUCAUCGGCCUGGCCAUGAACAUUUUACUGCACUACCGGGCAGUGGAUGCUUUCAGUUAUUUGUUUCAUGGGGAAGUUUCGCUUUAAUUUCCUAGAUUCAUCGGCCUGGCCAUGAACAUUUUACUGCACUACCGGGCAGUGGAUGCUUUCAGUUAUUUGUUUCAUGGGGAAGUUUCGCUUUAAUUUCCUAGAUUCAUCGGCCUGGCCAUGAACAUUUUACUGCACUACCGGGCAGUGGAUGCUUUCAGUUAUUUGUUUCAUGGGGAAGUUUCGCUUUAAUUUCCUAGAUUCAUCGGCCUGGCCAUGAACAUUUUACUGCACUACCGGGCAGUGGAUGCUUUCAGUUAUUUGUUUCAUGGGGAAGUUUCGCUUUAAUUUCCUAGAUUCAUCGGCCUGGCCAUGAACAUUUUACUGCACUACCGGGCAGUGGAUGCUUUCAGUUAUUUGUUUCAUGGGGAAGUUUCGCUUUAAUUUCCUAGAUUCAUCGGCCUGGCCAUGAACAUUUUACUGCACUACCGGGCAGUGGAUGCUUUCAGUUAUUUGUUUCAUGGGGAAGUUUCGCUUUAAUUUCCUAGAUUCAUCGGCCUGGCCAUGAACAUUUUACUGCACUACCGGGCAGUGGAUGCUUUCAGUUAUUUGUUUCAUGGGGAAGUUUCGCUUUAAUUUCCUAGAUUCAUCGGCCUGGCCAUGAACAUUUUACUGCACUACCGGGCAGUGGAUGCUUUCAGUUAUUUGUUUCAUGGGGAAGUUUCGCUUUAAUUUCCUAGAUUCAUCGGCCUGGCCAUGAACAUUUUACUGCACUACCGGGCAGUGGAUGCUUUCAGUUAUUUGUUUCAUGGGGAAGUUUCGCUUUAAUUUCCUAGAUUCAUCGGCCUGGCCAUGAACAUUUUACUGCACUACCGGGCAGUGGAUGCUUUCAGUUAUUUGUUUCAUGGGGAAGUUUCGCUUUAAUUUCCUAGAUUCAUCGGCCUGGCCAUGAACAUUUUACUGCACUACCGGGCAGUGGAUGCUUUCAGUUAUUUGUUUCAUGGGGAAGUUUCGCUUUAAUUUCCUAGAUUCAUCGGCCUGGCCAUGAACAUUUUACUGCACUACCGGGCAGUGGAUGCUUUCAGUUAUUUGUUUCAUGGGGAAGUUUCGCUUUAAUUUCCUAGAUUCAUCGGCCUGGCCAUGAACAUUUUACUGCACUACCGGGCAGUGGAUGCUUUCAGUUAUUUGUUUCAUGGGGAAGUUUCGCUUUAAUUUCCUAGAUUCAUCGGCCUGGCCAUGAACAUUUUACUGCACUACCGGGCAGUGGAUGCUUUCAGUUAUUUGUUUCAUGGGGAAGUUUCGCUUUAAUUUCCUAGAUUCAUCGGCCUGGCCAUGAACAUUUUACUGCACUACCGGGCAGUGGAUGCUUUCAGUUAUUUGUUUCAUGGGGAAGUUUCGCUUUAAUUUCCUAGAUUCAUCGGCCUGGCCAUGAACAUUUUACUGCACUACCGGGCAGUGGAUGCUUUCAGUUAUUUGUUUCAUGGGGAAGUUUCGCUUUAAUUUCCUAGAUUCAUCGGCCUGGCCAUGAACAUUUUACUGCACUACCGGGCAGUGGAUGCUUUCAGUUAUUUGUUUCAUGGGGAAGUUUCGCUUUAAUUUCCUAGAUUCAUCGGCCUGGCCAUGAACAUUUUACUGCACUACCGGGCAGUGGAUGCUUUCAGUUAUUUGUUUCAUGGGGAAGUUUCGCUUUAAUUUCCUAGAUUCAUCGGCCUGGCCAUGAACAUUUUACUGCACUACCGGGCAGUGGAUGCUUUCAGUUAUUUGUUUCAUGGGGAAGUUUCGCUUUAAUUUCCUAGAUUCAUCGGCCUGGCCAUGAACAUUUUACUGCACUACCGGGCAGUGGAUGCUUUCAGUUAUUUGUUUCAUGGGGAAGUUUCGCUUUAAUUUCCUAGAUUCAUCGGCCUGGCCAUGAACAUUUUACUGCACUACCGGGCAGUGGAUGCUUUCAGUUAUUUGUUUCAUGGGGAAGUUUCGCUUUAAUUUCCUAGAUUCAUCGGCCUGGCCAUGAACAUUUUACUGCACUACCGGGCAGUGGAUGCUUUCAGUUAUUUGUUUCAUGGGGAAGUUUCGCUUUAAUUUCCUAGAUUCAUCGGCCUGGCCAUGAACAUUUUACUGCACUACCGGGCAGUGGAUGCUUUCAGUUAUUUGUUUCAUGGGGAAGUUUCGCUUUAAUUUCCUAGAUUCAUCGGCCUGGCCAUGAACAUUUUACUGCACUACCGGGCAGUGGAUGCUUUCAGUUAUUUGUUUCAUGGGGAAGUUUCGCUUUAAUUUCCUAGAUUCAUCGGCCUGGCCAUGAACAUUUUACUGCACUACCGGGCAGUGGAUGCUUUCAGUUAUUUGUUUCAUGGGGAAGUUUCGCUUUAAUUUCCUAGAUUCAUCGGCCUGGCCAUGAACAUUUUACUGCACUACCGGGCAGUGGAUGCUUUCAGUUAUUUGUUUCAUGGGGAAGUUUCGCUUUAAUUUCCUAGAUUCAUCGGCCUGGCCAUGAACAUUUUACUGCACUACCGGGCAGUGGAUGCUUUCAGUUAUUUGUUUCAUGGGGAAGUUUCGCUUUAAUUUCCUAGAUUCAUCGGCCUGGCCAUGAACAUUUUACUGCACUACCGGGCAGUGGAUGCUUUCAGUUAUUUGUUUCAUGGGGAAGUUUCGCUUUAAUUUCCUAGAUUCAUCGGCCUGGCCAUGAACAUUUUACUGCACUACCGGGCAGUGGAUGCUUUCAGUUAUUUGUUUCAUGGGGAAGUUUCGCUUUAAUUUCCUAGAUUCAUCGGCCUGGCCAUGAACAUUUUACUGCACUACCGGGCAGUGGAUGCUUUCAGUUAUUUGUUUCAUGGGGAAGUUUCGCUUUAAUUUCCUAGAUUCAUCGGCCUGGCCAUGAACAUUUUACUGCACUACCGGGCAGUGGAUGCUUUCAGUUAUUUGUUUCAUGGGGAAGUUUCGCUUUAAUUUCCUAGAUUCAUCGGCCUGGCCAUGAACAUUUUACUGCACUACCGGGCAGUGGAUGCUUUCAGUUAUUUGUUUCAUGGGGAAGUUUCGCUUUAAUUUCCUAGAUUCAUCGGCCUGGCCAUGAACAUUUUACUGCACUACCGGGCAGUGGAUGCUUUCAGUUAUUUGUUUCAUGGGAAGUUUCGCUUUAAUUUCCUAGAUUCAUCGGCCUGGCCAUGAACAUUUUACUGCACUACCGGGCAGUGGAUGCUUUCAGUUAUUUGUUUCAUGGGGAAGUUUCGCUUUAAUUUCCUAGAUUCAUCGGCCUGGCCAUGAACAUUUUACUGCACUACCGGGCAGUGGAUGCUUUCAGUUAUUUGUUUCAUGGGGAAGUUUCGCUUUAAUUUCCUAGAUUCAUCGGCCUGGCCAUGAACAUUUUACUGCACUACCGGGCAGUGGAUGCUUUCAGUUAUUUGUUUCAUGGGGAAGUUUCGCUUUAAUUUCCUAGAUUCAUCGGCCUGGCCAUGAACAUUUUACUGCACUACCGGGCAGUGGAUGCUUUCAGUUAUUUGUUUCAUGGGGAAGUUUCGCUUUAAUUUCCUAGAUUCAUCGGCCUGGCCAUGAACAUUUUACUGCACUACCGGGCAGUGGAUGCUUUCAGUUAUUUGUUUCAUGGGGAAGUUUCGCUUUAAUUUCCUAGAUUCAUCGGCCUGGCCAUGAACAUUUUACUGCACUACCGGGCAGUGGAUGCUUUCAGUUAUUUGUUUCAUGGGGAAGUUUCGCUUUAAUUUCCUAGAUUCAUCGGCCUGGCCAUGAACAUUUUACUGCACUACCGGGCAGUGGAUGCUUUCAGUUAUUUGUUUCAUGGGGAAGUUUCGCUUUAAUUUCCUAGAUUCAUCGGCCUGGCCAUGAACAUUUUACUGCACUACCGGGCAGUGGAUGCUUUCAGUUAUUUGUUUCAUGGGGAAGUUUCGCUUUAAUUUCCUAGAUUCAUCGGCCUGGCCAUGAACAUUUUACUGCACUACCGGGCAGUGGAUGCUUUCAGUUAUUUGUUUCAUGGGGAAGUUUCGCUUUAAUUUCCUAGAUUCAUCGGCCUGGCCAUGAACAUUUUACUGCACUACCGGGCAGUGGAUGCUUUCAGUUAUUUGUUUCAUGGGGAAGUUUCGCUUUAAUUUCCUAGAUUCAUCGGCCUGGCCAUGAACAUUUUACUGCACUACCGGGCAGUGGAUGCUUUCAGUUAUUUGUUUCAUGGGGAAGUUUCGCUUUAAUUUCCUAGAUUCAUCGGCCUGGCCAUGAACAUUUUACUGCACUACCGGGCAGUGGAUGCUUUCAGUUAUUUGUUUCAUGGGGAAGUUUCGCUUUAAUUUCCUAGAUUCAUCGGCCUGGCCAUGAACAUUUUACUGCACUACCGGGCAGUGGAUGCUUUCAGUUAUUUGUUUCAUGGGGAAGUUUCGCUUUAAUUUCCUAGAUUCAUCGGCCUGGCCAUGAACAUUUUACUGCACUACCGGGCAGUGGAUGCUUUCAGUUAUUUGUUUCAUGGGGAAGUUUCGCUUUAAUUUCCUAGAUUCAUCGGCCUGGCCAUGAACAUUUUACUGCACUACCGGGCAGUGGAUGCUUUCAGUUAUUUGUUUCAUGGGGAAGUUUCGCUUUAAUUUCCUAGAUUCAUCGGCCUGGCCAUGAACAUUUUACUGCACUACCGGGCAGUGGAUGCUUUCAGUUAUUUGUUUCAUGGGGAAGUUUCGCUUUAAUUUCCUAGAUUCAUCGGCCUGGCCAUGAACAUUUUACUGCACUACCGGGCAGUGGAUGCUUUCAGUUAUUUGUUUCAUGGGGAAGUUUCGCUUUAAUUUCCUAGAUUCAUCGGCCUGGCCAUGAACAUUUUACUGCACUACCGGGCAGUGGAUGCUUUCAGUUAUUUGUUUCAUGGGGAAGUUUCGCUUUAAUUUCCUAGAUUCAUCGGCCUGGCCAUGAACAUUUUACUGCACUACCGGGCAGUGGAUGCUUUCAGUUAUUUGUUUCAUGGGGAAGUUUCGCUUUAAUUUCCUAGAUUCAUCGGCCUGGCCAUGAACAUUUUACUGCACUACCGGGCAGUGGAUGCUUUCAGUUAUUUGUUUCAUGGGGAAGUUUCGCUUUAAUUUCCUAGAUUCAUCGGCCUGGCCAUGAACAUUUUACUGCACUACCGGGCAGUGGAUGCUUUCAGUUAUUUGUUUCAUGGGGAAGUUUCGCUUUAAUUUCCUAGAUUCAUCGGCCUGGCCAUGAACAUUUUACUGCACUACCGGGCAGUGGAUGCUUUCAGUUAUUUGUUUCAUGGGGAAGUUUCGCUUUAAUUUCCUAGAUUCAUCGGCCUGGCCAUGAACAUUUUACUGCACUACCGGGCAGUGGAUGCUUUCAGUUAUUUGUUUCAUGGGGAAGUUUCGCUUUAAUUUCCUAGAUUCAUCGGCCUGGCCAUGAACAUUUUACUGCACUACCGGGCAGUGGAUGCUUUCAGUUAUUUGUUUCAUGGGGAAGUUUCGCUUUAAUUUCCUAGAUUCAUCGGCCUGGCCAUGAACAUUUUACUGCACUACCGGGCAGUGGAUGCUUUCAGUUAUUUGUUUCAUGGGGAAGUUUCGCUUUAAUUUCCUAGAUUCAUCGGCCUGGCCAUGAACAUUUUACUGCACUACCGGGCAGUGGAUGCUUUCAGUUAUUUGUUUCAUGGGGAAGUUUCGCUUUAAUUUCCUAGAUUCAUCGGCCUGGCCAUGAACAUUUUACUGCACUACCGGGCAGUGGAUGCUUUCAGUUAUUUGUUUCAUGGGGAAGUUUCGCUUUAAUUUCCUAGAUUCAUCGGCCUGGCCAUGAACAUUUUACUGCACUACCGGGCAGUGGAUGCUUUCAGUUAUUUGUUUCAUGGGGAAGUUUCGCUUUAAUUUCCUAGAUUCAUCGGCCUGGCCAUGAACAUUUUACUGCACUACCGGGCAGUGGAUGCUUUCAGUUAUUUGUUUCAUGGGGAAGUUUCGCUUUAAUUUCCUAGAUUCAUCGGCCUGGCCAUGAACAUUUUACUGCACUACCGGGCAGUGGAUGCUUUCAGUUAUUUGUUUCAUGGGGAAGUUUCGCUUUAAUUUCCUAGAUUCAUCGGCCUGGCCAUGAACAUUUUACUGCACUACCGGGCAGUGGAUGCUUUCAGUUAUUUGUUUCAUGGGGAAGUUUCGCUUUAAUUUCCUAGAUUCAUCGGCCUGGCCAUGAACAUUUUACUGCACUACCGGGCAGUGGAUGCUUUCAGUUAUUUGUUUCAUGGGGAAGUUUCGCUUUAAUUUCCUAGAUUCAUCGGCCUGGCCAUGAACAUUUUACUGCACUACCGGGCAGUGGAUGCUUUCAGUUAUUUGUUUCAUGGGGAAGUUUCGCUUUAAUUUCCUAGAUUCAUCGGCCUGGCCAUGAACAUUUUACUGCACUACCGGGCAGUGGAUGCUUUCAGUUAUUUGUUUCAUGGGGAAGUUUCGCUUUAAUUUCCUAGAUUCAUCGGCCUGGCCAUGAACAUUUUACUGCACUACCGGGCAGUGGAUGCUUUCAGUUAUUUGUUUCAUGGGGAAGUUUCGCUUUAAUUUCCUAGAUUCAUCGGCCUGGCCAUGAACAUUUUACUGCACUACCGGGCAGUGGAUGCUUUCAGUUAUUUGUUUCAUGGGGAAGUUUCGCUUUAAUUUCCUAGAUUCAUCGGCCUGGCCAUGAACAUUUUACUGCACUACCGGGCAGUGGAUGCUUUCAGUUAUUUGUUUCAUGGGGAAGUUUCGCUUUAAUUUCCUAGAUUCAUCGGCCUGGCCAUGAACAUUUUACUGCACUACCGGGCAGUGGAUGCUUUCAGUUAUUUGUUUCAUGGGGAAGUUUCGCUUUAAUUUCCUAGAUUCAUCGGCCUGGCCAUGAACAUUUUACUGCACUACCGGGCAGUGGAUGCUUUCAGUUAUUUGUUUCAUGGGGAAGUUUCGCUUUAAUUUCCUAGAUUCAUCGGCCUGGCCAUGAACAUUUUACUGCACUACCGGGCAGUGGAUGCUUUCAGUUAUUUGUUUCAUGGGGAAGUUUCGCUUUAAUUUCCUAGAUUCAUCGGCCUGGCCAUGAACAUUUUACUGCACUACCGGACAGUGGAUGCUUUCAGUUAUUUGUUUCAUGGGGAAGUUUCGCUUUAAUUUCCUAGAUUCAUCGGCCUGGCCAUGAACAUUUUACUGCACUACCGGGCAGUGGAUGCUUUCAGUUAUUUGUUUCAUGGGGAAGUUUCGCUUUAAUUUCCUAGAUUCAUCGGCCUGGCCAUGAACAUUUUACUGCACUACCGGGCAGUGGAUGCUUUCAGUUAUUUGUUUCAUGGGGAAGUUUCGCUUUAAUUUCCUAGAUUCAUCGGCCUGGCCAUGAACAUUUUACUGCACUACCGGGCAGUGGAUGCUUUCAGUUAUUUGUUUCAUGGGGAAGUUUCGCUUUAAUUUCCUAGAUUCAUCGGCCUGGCCAUGAACAUUUUACUGCACUACCGGGCAGUGGAUGCUUUCAGUUAUUUGUUUCAUGGGGAAGUUUCGCUUUAAUUUCCUAGAUUCAUCGGCCUGGCCAUGAACAUUUUACUGCACUACCGGGCAGUGGAUGCUUUCAGUUAUUUGUUUCAUGGGGAAGUUUCGCUUUAAUUUCCUAGAUUCAUCGGCCUGGCCAUGAACAUUUUACUGCACUACCGGGCAGUGGAUGCUUUCAGUUAUUUGUUUCAUGGGGAAGUUUCGCUUUAAUUUCCUAGAUUCAUCGGCCUGGCCAUGAACAUUUUACUGCACUACCGGGCAGUGGAUGCUUUCAGUUAUUUGUUUCAUGGGGAAGUUUCGCUUUAAUUUCCUAGAUUCAUCGGCCUGGCCAUGAACAUUUUACUGCACUACCGGGCAGUGGAUGCUUUCAGUUAUUUGUUUCAUGGGGAAGUUUCGCUUUAAUUUCCUAGAUUCAUCGGCCUGGCCAUGAACAUUUUACUGCACUACCGGGCAGUGGAUGCUUUCAGUUAUUUGUUUCAUGGGGAAGUUUCGCUUUAAUUUCCUAGAUUCAUCGGCCUGGCCAUGAACAUUUUACUGCACUACCGGGCAGUGGAUGCUUUCAGUUAUUUGUUUCAUGGGGAAGUUUCGCUUUAAUUUCCUAGAUUCAUCGGCCUGGCCAUGAACAUUUUACUGCACUACCGGGCAGUGGAUGCUUUCAGUUAUUUGUUUCAUGGGGAAGUUUCGCUUUAAUUUCCUAGAUUCAUCGGCCUGGCCAUGAACAUUUUACUGCACUACCGUGGAUGCUUUCAGUUAUUUGUUUCAUGGGGAAGUUUCGUCCUAGUAGACCUAUCAUUUGUCCAACAAUGUGUUGACUAAGAGUAGUUGUGUUUUGCCCCUGGUUAUGAUUGCCUGCCUGCCGUCCCUUUCCCAUGUAAUCCAUGUGCUGAAUGGGCUCCUGCAGUUUGCCUACACAAACUUCUUUUUUGGUUCUUUUGUCAGAAUCUCCUUACUUCAGCGACUUAAGUAUUUACAUGAUUUACUUUAUAGCUACUGAGAUAAAUUUGUAGGAUAUCACCCCAUGUGCACUUUGUAGCUUGUGACUUCUUUCACAAGUUAGUUUUGGUAUUGCUCUUCUGCAGGUUUAUCGCCAUUUUGUCAGAUUGUGACAAUUGUUUCCUUUAUGCAGAUCUGGCCACGGUUCUGGAAUUUUCCCCAGUGACAGACAGGGCCCUCUGUGGUUGCUUUGAAUGGGAUUAUAACUAUCACUGACUAUGUGAGCAUUAUUUUUAUGGGAAGAUAAAAGCUCCAUAAGCAGCCCUCUGGUCGUCUGAUUAAAUCCCUUGAAAUGGAGAGGGUUAGGACCAUUCUGGCUCAUGGAUACCCAUACCCACAUGAGCACUCGAGACGUUUCAUGAUUAGGAAGACUAUCAAGCCAAACUAUUCAAGCUUUAGUCGUUGGUACGUCGCUUGGGUAUAUAUUCUUGGCAGUAUUAUACCAUCUCCCUAGUUUUCGGUCAACGGGGUUGGAUAUGAGGAUAAAUCUUUCCCUCUAUAUUUCCUCCCUGGUUUUCUUGACCGUCUUCCACGUCGUCUUCCCUGGACUCUAAUAUUUGGGUCUUGUUUCUCGCAUGGUAGAGAAAAAGCAAGAGAUGCUUAUUAUAAUCCAAAAUUGCACAGUGAUAAGUAUAGCUUGCUGCGUGUUCUACGGCCACUAUGGUAACAGGACUCUUCCAAACUUUAGUCGUUGGUACGUUGCUUGGAUAUUCUUGGCAGCAUUAUACCAUCUCCCUAGUUUUCUGUCAAUGGGGUUAGAUUUGAGGAUCAAUCGUCCCCUCUUCCUCGCUAUUUUUAUUUCCUCUCUAGUUUUCUUUAUCAUCUUCCAUGUCGUAUUUCUUGGACUCUGGUACGUGGGUCUUGUUUCUCGCGUGGCAGAGAGAAAGCCAGAGAUGCUUACUUACUAUAAUCCAAAAUUGUGCAGUAAUAAGUAUAGCUUGCUACAUGUUCUACAACCACUGUGGUAACAACACUCUGUCAUCUAUUGAUCGUGAACUACUAUCUGGGUUGCAUUUUCACUGUCGAGAAAGCAAAAUGAGGACAAUACACUGGUUUCAAAGCUAUUGCGUAUGCAUAAGUGUAAAGACCAGAUUUGCUCGUCCGGUUGGCUGUGCCAGUCACCCACUUCUCUCGAAAUGGGCCAUUUAUGAACAAUUAACUUACAAUGGAUGCGAACACUCCAACUUCAUUUCACCUGUCUACUCUUUGUGGGCUACGUUCAUUGUUCUUUACAUGGCCAAUUAUGUCGUGGAGCGGUCAAGUGGAGUAUGAGAAUCUGAAGAAACAGUUGAAACCGGAUUUGAGGACAUAGUUCGUUGGUAUUCUGGGUAUGUUCUUGAUCUGCACAUAUCCAAAUCAAUGCUCAUUCACAUAUGAGCAGUGUUUUUUCUGCCCUUUUGAGUAUGCGCUCUCCAGCCUCCUGCUUGGUAUACGCGUGAACACAUAGCAUUUGAAAAACAUGAACUUCCUCUUGGAGCUUCUGAGCACAGGCAGUAUAGCCGACCACGUUGUUUUCUGAUUCCUGGAAACCACGUAUUGUGAAUAGAGGUAUAUAAAUAAGGAUGGCAAAUGAUGGGCCACAACUUGGGGUUACCUCAGCCUAGCUAUGUAUGUGCCUCCAGUCGCUCUCGACGAGCAUGAGCUGGGUAAGGAUGCACUUCGUGCUCAGCUGCAAAUGCGCUCAAGGACUUAUGUAGAAUACAUCGAGUUUUAGCACCACAAAGAUAUCCUUCAAGUGAGCCGAGUCACGGAUAUGCUUGUCGAUUUUGUCUUUGAUCAAAUAGCGACCCUGUAAUACCUGUCAUGCCCAUUCAAACAAGCUUUCUCCUCCACCAUUGCCCUUGGCAACCACGCCGAUUGUCAGCUCUAUCAGAACGACACCAAAACUAUAGAUGUCAGUCUCCUCGACCUUUCAUUGUAUUGAUAGUAUUCUGUAAAAUUUGCAUUCAAUUAGUGUUUAAUGAAAAUGUUUAAGAUGCCUUGUUGGAUUUGAGAUUCUCACCAGGGUCAUAUGCCCAUGUGUCCCACAAAUAGUUGACAUGUGGUGGGAUAGGCCUGGUUGACAACCAUUCGAGCAAGCGUAAAUUCGUCGAACUUGUCAUGGAGCUCUGGGUCAAGCAAAAUAUUCCCUAACUUGAUGUCCCGGUGCAUAAUAGCCUGUAUGCACUCUUGGCUGAUGUAGUUAAGGGUCCUGACAUCAUCAAUAGUGAUGGUAAGCCUUGUCGCCUAGUCCAAUGGUACAAGGGUGCCCACGCGGUCAUGGCGGUGCGGCCACUCGUCGAGGCUGCCCUUCUCCAUGUGCUCGUAAACAAGUAGCUUGGCAUCUUGGCUGGAGAUUAUGCACAACAGCUUGAUGAUGUUCUUGUGGUUAAUGCCCCCCAAUGUCUCCACCUCCGAGUUGAAUUGCUUGUGGUCCAGAUUUACCGUGUUGCAUAUCUUCUUGACAGCCACUAUUCUGGUGCUGUGAUCCUCAAUGGCAUUACCAAGGCUAGGAGGUGGACACGUUGCACCUUCCUAGGCCCGCCAUUGCCCAUAAUGUUCUCCUCAGGUAUGUUGUUGAGCAAGUCGGAUUUGACGAAGUCUGGAGGUGUGAAUGGUGUCAUUUUCCAAUCAGCCACGACUUCUUUCACCACUUGUGUGUCCUUUCGAUACCGAAAGAGCAGGUGUAUGAUGAUGCUCAUGCAAGCGAUAAUGACAGUGACACUAAGCACUGACAAGGUUAUCAUACACUUUUGGAGGUGGGUGCCUCUGUGGCAUAUUAGCAUACUUAUCCUCGAGGCCCACUUGGCACAAAGCCCACGGUUUUGAAGGAAGUUGUGGUUGUGAUUUGUACUUUUCAAAGAAAGGGGCACCUCCCCAUUGAGUUGGUUAAAUGACAAAUUGAGGGAUGCAAUUGAAUGAUACCCGAGGUUAGAUGGAAUUUUGCAUGUUAGCUCGUUGUUGGACAAAUCAAGGACUACGAUGAUGAAAGAAUCUCAAUGCUCCAUGGCGGUACUACACCUGAUAUACGAUUGUUGCUGAGGUCAAGUUAUUUGAGAUCCUGCAACAAUAUAACUAAUGUUGGUAUGGAUCCGGGUAUCUUGUUCCCACUUAGUGACAAUUCAGAAAGCUUGUGGAGAUUGCUUACGUUGACCGGUAGCUCUCCUGAGAGUUGUUUAUCCUGCACCAUCAACACAAGUAGCCCAGUCCCAAAUGUCGGGAUCGAGCCAGAGAAGUGGUUUUUCUGCAUCUCAAUUCGAGAGAUAUCUGAAGAUCUCUAUUUUGGUGUAGUGCCAAUGAAGUUGUUGUCCGAUAUUAGCACUAUAUGCGCCAACAACAUCAACCAUAUAUUCAUCGAAAACUUCCUCAAGAAGUUUUUGUUGUCGAGCAUAAUGUUUUCCAGCGAGAGAUAGUUGCCAAUGAUCAUUGGGAGCUCGUUGGAGAAGAUAUUGUUAGGAAGUACAUUGUUGAAUAGUUUCCCAUGAGCGCGUAACUACUUCGGUAAUGAGCAAGACAAGAUGUUGAUGUAGACCUUAAAAUUUCCAAGCAGCAAGUGCUUCCCAAGUUCUUGUGGUACCUCACCCUAGAGCAUAUUGUCGAACAACUGGAUGUAUUGGAGGUUGGGAAUGAGGCCCAUGCUUAUGCGGAUGGGGCAUGUGGAAUCAAUGUUGUAUAAGAUGAUAAAGAUUAGUUUCUUGAGAGUCCCAAAGCCUUAUAGUAUGCAUCUAGUGAGUUUGUUUUUCCACAAGUCUAUCUUAAUCAAAUUCACCGCAGUGAUGUUGCAUGGCAGCUCACUGGUGAGUCUGUUAUCAUACAAGUACAAGAUCUCGAGCUUUUGGUGCUCCUAGAUCUAGAGGGGAUUGAACCACUGAGCUUUUUUUCCCCAUAGGUCCAACAUGGUUAGUUCCUUUAGACUUGAGAAUGCCUAUGGAAUCUCAACGGUGAAUCCAUUACUCUCAAGAAGCAGGUUCUGGAGUGUCAAAAGCUCAACCAUCGGCAUCAACAAAACUGCACUAAAGUUGUUGUUAGUUAGGUUGAGGUGCUUCAUAGAUGGUGAUAGUUGGUUGAUGUCUUGAGGAAGGACUCCAUGAAAGCUGUUGUAGGAGAGAUCAAGGUACCGAAGACAAGAGCAUGCAUAGAGAGUGAUGCCAGGGAAUUUCCUAGCGAGCUUGUUGUACGAAAAGUCGAGGUGGAUCAGGUACUUGAGAUUGCACACCUAAGGAGUGAUGUUGCCAGUAAGAUUCAAAUGCUUGAAGGAAAUCCCUGUAACUAGGCUUCCACCACUUGCCACCCAAUUGGCAAAACCCCAACUACAAUGAUGUGUAGAGCAGAACAACCGAUCAUUGAAGCUGGGCUGGUGUCAGUUGCGUAGGAGGCGAUGGAGGCCUAGUUACGGAGCUUUCCUUCAAGCAUUUGAAUUUUAUCGGCAACACCCCUCCAUCUCUGUGCAACCUUAAGUACCUAAUCCAACUCGACUUUUCAUACAAAAAACUCACAGGGAGAGUCCUUGGCAUCAAGCUCUACGCCUACUCCUGGCUUCGAUACCUUGUUCCCUAAUACAAUGGAUUCCAUGGAGUGUUUACUCAAGAGAUGAGUUGACUAUCACCAUGUGUGAAGGAUCUCAAUCUGACUAACAACAACUUUAGUGAUAUUCUGUUGAUGGCGAUGGACAAGCUUGAGACACUCCAAAACCGGCUUCUUGAACGAUUGGCUUCACUGGCGAGAUUUGAAAGUCAUUCUCAAGCCCAAAGAAACUAACUAUUUUGAACAUGUGGGGCAACAAUCUCAGUGUUUCAAUCCUCGUAUGGAUGUGGGAGCACUAAAAUCUCGAGAUCUUGUACAUGUAUGACAGUGGACUCAUAGGGAGCUGUCGUGCAACAUCACUAUGGCGAAUCUGAUUAACAUAGACUUGUGAGCUGACAAACACAUUGGUUGCAUACGAGAAGACUUUGGGACUCUCAAGAGACUAACCAUUAUCAUCGUAUACAACAUUGAUUUCAUAGGCCCCAUCCCCAGCAUCAUUGUCCUCAUUCCCCACCUCCAAUGCAUCCACUUGUUCGACAAUAUGCUCUAGGGUGAGGUACCAUAUAUAGGAACUUGGGAAGCACUCACUGCUUGGAAAUUUUCAGGUCUACAACAAUAACUUGUCUGGCUCACUACCGUAGUAGUUAUGCGCUCAUGAGAAACUAUUCAACAUAGUAGAGUCUAACAACUGCUUCUCCUAUGAGCUCCCGACGAUCAUUGACAACUGCCUCUCAAUGGAUAAUAUUAUGCUUGACAACUACUACUUCUCGGGGAAGUUUCCGAUGAAUAUAUGGUGGUUGUCGUGCAUACAAUGCUAAUAUCGAACAACAAUUUCACUAGCACUAUGCCGAAAGAGAGAUCUACGAACAUCUCUCGAAUUGAGAUGAAGAACAACCACGUCUUCGGGUUGAUCCCGACGCUUCGGACUGAGCUACUAGUGUUGAUGGUGUAGAAUAACCAACUUUCGGAAGAGCUACUUGUCAACAUAAGCAAUCUCCACGGGCUUUCUGAAUUGUCACUAAGUGGGGACAAACAAACCUAGAUCCAUACCAACAUCAAUUACAUUGUUGCGGAAUCUCAAAUCACUUGAUAACAACAACAAUCGUGUAUCACGUGCAAUAUACCGCCAUGGAGCAUUGAGACGAUUUCCUCGCUCUUAGUCCUUGAUUUGUCCAACAAUGAGCUAACAUGCAAAAUUCCACCUCACUUCAGCAACCAUUCAAUUUUGUCCCUUAAUUUGUCCUUUGACCACUCAAUGGGGAGGCGCCCCUCUCUUUGCAAAGUGCAAAUUACAGCCACGACUUCCUUGAAAACCAUCAGCUUUGAGCCAAGUGGGCCUCGAGGACAAAUAUCCCAAUAUGCCAUGAAGGCACCCACCUUCAGAAGCGUAUUAUAUUAUUGUUAGUGCUCGGUGUUACUGUCAUUAUCGCUUGAAUGAGCAUCAUCAUACGACUGUUCUUUCAGCGUUGGAAGAACAGACAAGUGUUGAAAGAAGUCGCGAGUGAUUGAAAAAUGACACCAUUCACACCUCUGGACUUCUUGAAACUCGAUGUGCUCAACAACAUAUCUAAGGAGAACAUUAUCGGCACGACGGGUCUUGGAAGGUGUAUUAUGUCCACCUCCCGGGCCUUCAUGGUCUUACGGAGGAUCGCAGAAGCAGAAUAGUGACUGUUAAGAAGGUAUGCAACAUGAGAAAUCUAGACCACGGGAAGCCCGACUCGGAGGUGAAGACAUCGGGGAACAUCAAUCACAAGAACAUAAUCAAGAUAGUGUGCAUAAUCUCCAGCCAAGAUGCCAAAUUGCUUGUUUACAAACGCAUGGCGAAAGGCAACCUCUACGACUGGUUGCAGCACCGUGACAACAAGGGGCACCCCUGCAAUAUUGCACUGGUCGACAAGGUUGACCAUCACUAUUGAUGGAGACAAGGGCCUCAACUACAUUCACCAAGAGUGCGGACAUGAUAUUAUCCACCGGGACAUCAAGUGAGACAACGUUUUGCUUGACCCAGAGUUCCAUGCCAAGUUCGCCGACUCUGGGCUUGCUCAAAUGGUUGUUAAACCAAGCCAAUCACACCAUAUGUCACCCAUUUGUGAGACACACGAAUGCAUUACCCCCGACGAGAAUCUCAAAUCCAGCAGGACAUCUCAAACGUUUCCACUAAACGCUAAAUGAAUGUAAAUUUCACAUAAUAUUGUCAGUACAAUGAAAGGGCGAGCUGGGAGACUAACAUCUACUGUUUUGGUAUCAUUCUGCUAGAGGUGACAACUCGCGUUGUUGCCAAAGGCGUUAGACGAGGAGAAAGCUCAGCUGAAUGGGCAUAACAGGCAUUACAUGGCCGCUUUUUAACCAAAGAUAAAAUCGACGAUCAUAUCGGUGACUCGGUCCAUUCGGAGGAUAUCUUUGUGGCAUCGAUACUCGGUGUAUCAUGCAUGAGUCCUCAAGCACAUAUGCAGUCAAGCAUGAAACACGUCGUUACCUAGCACAUGCUCAUCCAAUGCGACGGAAAGCACAUAUAUAUGUGCAGAGGAUGGGGCUGAGCCCAUGUUGCGGAGGAUCGUGUCCGAGAAGGGCACCUCCAGCAGUCGGUAUGGCUGCCGACGAGACUCUGUGGCACAUACAUUGAUCUGGAGUAAUUAAGGUGGAUCAUUUGUCUCCUCCGGCUGUCUAACCAGAUGCAUGGUACGGCUUACGUUCUGCGCCUGCUACAGUUGUGUUUGGCAUUCACGUGACCAUGUCUUAGAUGAGUUUGGGCUUGUAGAAUGAGCAUCAAUAAUCGCGUUUGCUUUUCCUUUUCUGGUCACAGUGUAAUGGAGUGGGGUUCAGUUCUUCAGUCCAAGAUUUUUGUAACUAGCGUAGCUAGUGGCUUCAUGCCAUCACCAAAUGAUUACCUAACGAUAUAAAAUUAAGCACUGUGCAACAAUAUUAUUGUACUUUGAAAGAAUCCGAUCUACUUAUUGUC